Molecule: long non-coding RNA, 540 nt
Filed under: Homo sapiens (human)
Lineage: Eukaryota; Metazoa; Chordata; Mammalia; Primates; Hominidae
Description: HSALNT0229923
Source: RNAcentral
UAGCGCUGCUGGGUUAGGGUCUCCCUGACCAAGCUGGUAUUGGCAAGUGGCACCCAAUGUGGGGACUCGAACCCAGGUUGAAGGAUCACCGGAGUGAGGGUUGGAGAACGUGGAACUAAGUUGGAGGACACCCGAGUACUCUUAAGCAAUCCCCAUGUCUGCAGAUGUGGAUCCCGACUCCUGUGAGAAGUAGCUCACCGUGAUAAAGCCACCUUUGCUUUUAUUGCCCUGCAAAAACAAGAAGGGGGACAUGCUGGGGAUAUCCCCCAAAUCUGGCCAUAAACUGGCCCCAAAAGUGGCCAUAAACAAAAUCUGCAGCACUGUGAUUUGUUUGCGAUGGCCAUGACACCCAUGCUGAAGGUUGUGGGUUCACCGGAAUGAGGGCAAGGAACACCUGGCCCACCCAGGGUGGAAAACCUCUUAAAGGCAUUCCUAAACCACAAACAAUGGCAGGAGUGAUCUGUGCCUUAAGGACAUGUUCCUGCUGCAGAUAACUAGCCAGAGCCUAUCCCUUUGUUUCAGCCCAUCCCUUUGUUUCCC